This 373-nucleotide long non-coding RNA is filed under the name Selaginella moellendorffii. RNAcentral describes it as "long non-coding RNA (SMOE_LNC000606)". Lineage: Eukaryota; Viridiplantae; Streptophyta; Lycopodiopsida; Selaginellales; Selaginellaceae. The record is from RNAcentral.
UUGGUGUUGGUGCAUACGCCGGCUGGGGUUGCAUUCAAUACAUUCCCAACAGGUACAAUGCCUUGAGAAUGGCUGCAAAUGCAACUAGCAAUGUGUUUCAACAGGAUAGCAGGACUUGCGAUGAUUUCACCUGUUGCAAACUUCUGGUGGCCAGGCUUAGCUGCUACUUCUCAAGGGCUCGAGGCUUUAGAGGCCGCCGAUAGAUACACUCUCCAGGUAGCACAUUAUGCUCCUCGGUUCCUCUACCAUUACACAAGGCAAAAAUGGUUCCCUUCAUCAAACAUGGAGAAACUUAGUCAGGUAUGUAAUAUUAAAAGAGCAACUCACGGACUCGAGGUUCCCAGGUUUCGGAGCUUGCGAUACAGCAGGGAAU